RNAcentral lists this ribosomal RNA (253 nucleotides) under uncultured bacterium. Its description in RNAcentral is "partial 16S ribosomal RNA". It matches the Rfam family "Bacterial small subunit ribosomal RNA", at positions 524 to 776 of the family's 1533-position model. The record is from RNAcentral.
UACAUGUGGGGCAAGCGUUGUUCGGAAUUACUGGGCAUAAAGGGCGCGUAGGUGGUUUGUUAAGUCAGGGGUGAAAUCCCGCGGCCCAACCGUGGAACUGCCUUUGAUACUGGCGAACUUGAGUGCGUGAGGGGUAGGGGGAACGAGCAGUGUAGCGGUGAAAUGCGUAGAUAUUGCUCGGAAGGCCAGAGCCGAAGGGGCCCUACUGGUGCGCAACUGACACUGAGGCACGAAAGCGUGGGGAGCAAACAGG